This 85-nucleotide transfer RNA is filed under the name Felis catus (domestic cat). It matches the Rfam family "tRNA". From Rfam's summary of the family: Transfer RNA (tRNA) molecules are approximately 80 nucleotides in length. Their secondary structure includes four short double-helical elements and three loops (D, anti-codon, and T loops). Further hydrogen bonds mediate the characteristic L-shaped molecular structure. tRNAs have two regions of fundamental functional importance: the anti-codon, which is responsible for specific mRNA codon recognition, and the 3' end, to which the tRNAs corresponding amino acid is attached (by aminoacyl-tRNA synthetases). tRNAs cope with the degeneracy of the genetic code in two manners: having more than one tRNA (with a specific anti-codon) for a particular amino acid; and 'wobble' base-pairing, i.e. permitting non-standard base-pairing at the 3rd anti-codon position. The record is from Rfam by way of RNAcentral. Lineage: Eukaryota; Metazoa; Chordata; Mammalia; Carnivora; Felidae.
ACCUGGGUGGCUCAGUCGGUUGAGUGCCUGACUUUGGCUCAGGUCAUGAUCUCACAGUUUGCGAGUUGGAGCCCCGCAUCAGGCU